AUUGAACGCUGGCGGCAUGCCUUACACAUGCAAGUCGAACGGCAGCACGGGUGCUUGCACCUGGUGGCGAGUGGCGAACGGGUGAGUAAUACAUCGGAACAUGUCCUGUAGUGGGGGAUAGCCCGGCGAAAGCCGGAUUAAUACCGCAUACGAUCCACGGAUGAAAGCGGGGGACCUUCGGGCCUCGCGCUAUAGGGUUGGCCGAUGGCUGAUUAGCUAGUUGGUGGGGUAAAGGCCUACCAAGGCGACGAUCAGUAGCUGGUCUGAGAGGACGACCAGCCACACUGGGACUGGGACACGGCCCAGACUCCUACGGGAGGCAGCAGUGGGGAAUUUUGGACAAUGGGCGAAAGCCUGAUCCAGCAAUGCCGCGUGUGUGAAGAAGGCCUUCGGGUUGUAAAGCACUUUUGUCCGGAAAGAAAUCCUUGGCUCUAAUACAGUCGGGGGAUGACGGUACCGGAAGAAUAAGCACCGGCUAACUACGUG
RNAcentral lists this ribosomal RNA (486 nucleotides) under uncultured bacterium. RNAcentral describes it as "partial 16S ribosomal RNA". It matches the Rfam family "Bacterial small subunit ribosomal RNA", at positions 30 to 507 of the family's 1533-position model. The record is from RNAcentral.